ACUACGGGAGGCAGCAGUGGGGAAUAUUGCACAAUGGGGGAAACCCUGAUGCAGCGACGCCGCGUGAAGGAAGAAGUAUUUCGGUAUGUAAACUUCUAUCAGCAGGGAAGAAAAUGACGGUACCUGACUAAGAAGCCCCGGCUAACUACGUGCCAGCAGCCGCGGUAAUACGUAGGGGGCAAGCGUUAUCCGGAUUUACUGGGUGUAAAGGGAGCGUAGGCGGCGAUGCAAGUCAGAAGUGAAAGCCCGGGGCUCAACUCCGGGACUGCUUUUGAAACUGGCAAACUGGAGUGUGUGAGAGGAUGGUGGAAUUCCAGGUGUAGGAGUGAAAUCCGUAGAUAUCUGGAGGAACAUCAGUGGCGAAGGCGACUAUCUGGCACAUAACUGACGCUGAGGAGCGAAAGCGUGGGUAGCAAACAGGAUUAGAUACCCUGGUAGUC
Molecule: ribosomal RNA, 440 nt
Filed under: uncultured bacterium
Lineage: Bacteria
Description: partial 16S ribosomal RNA
Rfam family: Bacterial small subunit ribosomal RNA
Source: RNAcentral